CAAAUUAGAGCUUGUAUUAAGUAUUUCAUUUACAUUGAAAAGAAAUUAUAAAAUAUAAUUAAUUUGAUGUUUGA
This 74-nucleotide transfer RNA is filed under the name Anthocharis cardamines (orange tip). RNAcentral's name for it is "tRNA-Val". Lineage: Eukaryota; Metazoa; Arthropoda; Insecta; Lepidoptera; Pieridae. The record is from RNAcentral.